AGAAUCAACGCUGGCGGCGUGCCUCAGACAUGCAGGUCGAACGCGAAAGUUCCCUUCGGGGGGCAAGUAGAGUGGCGCACGGGUGAGUAACACGUAGGUAAUCUACCUUUGGAUGGGGAAUAACAACCGGAAACGGUUGCUAAUACCGCAUAAUGCAGCGGCACCUAAUGGUGACAGUUGUUAAAGCGGGGGAUCGAAAGACCUCGCGUCUGAAGAGGAGCCUGCGGCGGAUUAGCUAGUUGGUAAGGUAACGGCUUACCGAAGGCAACGAUCCGUA
This 277-nucleotide ribosomal RNA is filed under the name uncultured soil bacterium. RNAcentral's name for it is "partial 16S ribosomal RNA". It matches the Rfam family "Bacterial small subunit ribosomal RNA", at positions 26 to 285 of the family's 1533-position model. The record is from RNAcentral.